CAAAGAUGAGUCCACGUGUGACAACCAUGUCCAAGAAUGUUUCUCAUAUGCAUAUCCAUAACAACUACAUUAGCCAUUAGUUUACAGUAACAAAGUAAUCUUUCAAAAAAUGGUGGCAGCCAUUGCUGUUUCUUCUUCAAACUCUACACUUUACCAUAACCCCAUCUAUUUUAGUGACCCAAGAUCAAAUUUUGUUGGUGGGUUUUUGAAGGGUACUACUCUAUGUUUCCAUCUGAAACCAAAACAAUUACAAACAAGAGUUGUAAACAAUGUGGUUGUGGCUUCUUCAACUAGUACUACAAGUGUCACAACUAGUAAUGGUAGUAGUAGAUUUUACUUCAACUUCACUGGCUUUCCUUUCCCUCUUGGUCCUUUCCUCAAUAGGAGUACUAUUAGGACUGAGGUUGUGAAGGGACAGAUAUGGCUAUUUGAACAAGAGCAGGCAUUAGGCUUCAGCAGUGUUUCAACAAACAUUAGAAUGACAGUUAUCAAACUCAAAUCCGGCGGCUUAUGGGUUCACGCACCCAUCGCUCCAACCGACGAGUGUAUCCAGGUUCCAUUUUUAUUACCAAUUCUAUGAGUAUGCAAACUUUUAGUACCUUUAAUAGGAAAAAUGCUAGUGCAUAUAAUAUAUAUCGAAUGUGCCUCGUUUUCGGAUUCCACUCGUAGAAUUGUUUCAUCUCGCAAACUUUUUUCGUUCCUUAAACCUAUGACUUGAUCGAGAAGGUUUCGUGAAAAUGACAUCCUGAUUUCAUUAUGCUUUCGUAACAUGUGAGUUAUUUGUUUCCUGCAGCUUAUUAAGGAAUUGGAUGCUCCAGUUGAAUAUAUUGUCCUUCCUACUUUUGCUUACGAGCACAAAAUAUUUGUCGGUCCAUUUUCGAGAAAAUUUCCCCUUGCUCGAGUAUGGGUGGCACCAAGGCAAUGGAGUUGGCCAUUGAACUUACCAUUGGAAUUCUUCGGCAUUUUUCGCGCUAAAACGUUGAAAGACGAGGAUUUAUCCACUCCUUGGGCUAGUGAAAUAGAGCAAAAGGUUCUAAGCUCACCAGAAGUUGGAAUCGGGCCGUAUGUAGAGGCAGCUUUCUACCACAAGCCUUCAAGAACACUAUUAGUGACCGAUGCUGUUAUUUUUGUCCCAAGACAACCACCUGAAUGUAUAAGCAAAGAUUCGCUGUUAGCGUCUGCAAAAAAUGGUUUAGCCGUAAAAAUUCUCAGUAAAGGAAAGGAGGUAUCGGAUGAACCAGUAAUCGAUAACAAAAGCAAUAGGCAAAAAGGUAGGCUCUUACGAAAAGCAAAUUAUGUUUCGAUAGAAGUCGAGUCAUAACCCGAUGGUUGUUUUUUCUGCAGGAUGGGAAAGAAUGGUUCUACAAAUCUUGUUUCUCGGUCCAUCGAAUCUCUUAGAACCUAAUGCUACCUUCGAACAAAUGUCACAGAAGUUGAUUGUUUCACCUAUUGUAAAGACAUUGGUCUUCAGCAAAGUUCCUGAAAAGGUAAUCUAGUUCUACCUUAUAUCGGUCGAUUAAUUGACAAACCGAUAUUAUUAGAGAGUAAAUGCUAACUAACUAUUCAUCCUUGUUUUAUUUUCGCUUCGUACUUUGGUCUGACAAAGCGAUCUCACAAUUGUAUUUCAUGGCUAUGAAGCCUUCCAUCCCCCAAAAUCAAACUCGAAAACAGACGAUUAAGAAAACCAAAAUGUCUCACUUUUUAACUCUCGUGUCUUCACUACUUCCGAUUUAUAAAAUACUUCAACCAUAGAAGCGAUAGAACAUAAGUCAUGUUAUGAUCCAUUCCGUUCUACCACAUCUGCUAAAUGCUACAUGUAGCUCAUUGGUAAACUGAAUGUUUUCAUGAUAAUUGAUAAGCAUCGACGAUAAAUAACCGACCUCACACGUUUUGUUUGCUUAUUAUUAUGAUCUAAAGGUUAGAGACUGGGUCGAUAGCAUUUCGCAAGAUUGGAAGUUUAAGAGAAUCAUUCCUGCUCAUUUUGCUGCUCCAAUAAAUGCAAGCCGAUCAGAUUUCCGAGCAGCAUUCGCAUUUCUCGACGAGUUUGUAAGCGAUCGAUAUGCUACUUGGCCGUCACUUUCCCUUCUCUUGUCAUCAUUUAAGGGAAAAGCAGCCAGCUAUUUUCCUCCAGAUGACAUGAGAACCUUAUCAUCUCUUGAUCAGUUUCUAGUUUCAGUUGGAGCUGUGAAGAAAACUGUUUCAGGGAGGAAGCAAUGAAAACAAACAACUUGGUUGACUUGCUUAUACUACUUUGUCAAUACAUAAAAUUUUGUUACAUUAGGAGCUUCAUUCUUAAGGAAGAUGUAAAUGUUACACAUUAAUGUUGUCAUAUAAGGAAUAUAUUUUUGCAUAAAGAUCUUUAAGUGAUAUGUGUUUUAUCAAUAGAUAUGCUUUAUGACAAAACAUUAUGGUGUCGUUCGAUCCAUGUAGCUGACCCCAUCUUGUAGGAAAAACAAAAAAGAAAGGCUAA
RNAcentral lists this long non-coding RNA (2470 nucleotides) under Lupinus mutabilis. Its description in RNAcentral is "partial ncRNA". The record is from RNAcentral. Lineage: Eukaryota; Viridiplantae; Streptophyta; Magnoliopsida; Fabales; Fabaceae.